GCAUGGGUUGGCUUUAUGGCAGGCCCAUCCUCCUGGGCCUCUCUUAGUGUCCCAUGCCAGCAAGUUAUGACCCCUGAACCAUUGCUUGGCCUCUGCCUGUAGGCUGCUGGCACUAAAGUGGGUUGCACAAUG
Molecule: small nucleolar RNA, 132 nt
Filed under: Castor canadensis (American beaver)
Lineage: Eukaryota; Metazoa; Chordata; Mammalia; Rodentia; Castoridae
Description: Small nucleolar RNA SNORA42/SNORA80 family (ENSCCNG00000017693.1)
Rfam family: Small nucleolar RNA SNORA42/SNORA80 family
About the family: The members of this family belong to the H/ACA class of snoRNAs that guide the sites of modification of uridines to pseudouridines. Human ACA42 (SNORA42) was cloned from HeLa cells by immunoprecipitation with anti-GAR1 antibody. Its is predicted to guide the pseudouridylation of residues U109 and U572 of 18S rRNA.
Source: Rfam by way of RNAcentral